AUACAGAGGUCCCAAGCGUUGUUCGGAUUCACUGGGCGUAAAGGGUGCGUAGGCGGUCGGGUAAGUCUGAUGUGAAAUCUUCAAGCUCAACUUGGAAACUGCAUCGGAUACUAUUCGGCUCGAGGAAUGGAGGGGAGACUGGAAUACUUGGUGUAGCAGUGAAAUGCGUAGAUAUCAAGUGGAACACCAGUGGCGAAGGCGAGUCUCUGGACAUUUCCUGACGCUGAGGCACGAAAGCUAGGGGAGC
This 247-nucleotide ribosomal RNA is filed under the name uncultured bacterium. Its description in RNAcentral is "partial 16S ribosomal RNA". It matches the Rfam family "Bacterial small subunit ribosomal RNA", at positions 523 to 769 of the family's 1533-position model. The record is from RNAcentral.